UACAGAGGGUGCGAGCGUUAAUCGGAAUUACUGGGCGUAAAGGGCGCGUAGGCGGCCUUCUAAGUCGAACGUGAAAUCCCCGGGCUCAACCCGGGAACUGCGUCCGAUACUGGAAGGCUUGAAUCCGGGAGAGGGAUGCGGAAUUCCAGGUGUAGCGGUGAAAUGCGUAGAUAUCUGGAGGAACACCGGUGGCGAAGGCGGCAUCCUGGACCGGCAUUGACGCUGAGGCGCGAAAGCGUGGGGAGCAAACAGG
RNAcentral lists this ribosomal RNA (253 nucleotides) under uncultured bacterium. RNAcentral's name for it is "partial 16S ribosomal RNA". It matches the Rfam family "Bacterial small subunit ribosomal RNA", at positions 524 to 776 of the family's 1533-position model. The record is from RNAcentral.